GAUGAACGCUGGCGGCGUGCCUAAUACAUGCAAGUCGAGCGAACAGACGAGGAGCUUGCUCCUCUGACGUUAGCGGCGGACGGGUGAGUAACACGUGGAUAACCUACCUAUAAGACUGGGAUAACUUCGGGAAACCGGAGCUAAUACCGGAUAACAUGUUGAACCGCAUGGUUCAACAGUGAAAGACGGUCUUGCUGUCACUUAUAGAUGGAUCCGCGCCGCAUUAGCUAGUUGGUAAGGUAACGGCUUACCAAGGCAACGAUGCGUAGCCGACCUGAGAGGGUGAUCGGCCACACUGGAACUGAGACACGGUCCAGACUCCUACGGGAGGCAGCAGUAGGGAAUCUUACGCAAUGGGCGAAAGCCUGACGGAGCAACGCCGCGUGAGUGAAGAAGGUCUUCGGAUCGUAAAACUCUGUUAUUAGGGAAGAACAAAUGUGUAAGUAACUAUGCACGUAUUGACGGUACCUAAUCAGAAAGCCACGGCUAACUACGUG
RNAcentral lists this ribosomal RNA (497 nucleotides) under uncultured bacterium. RNAcentral describes it as "partial 16S ribosomal RNA". It matches the Rfam family "Bacterial small subunit ribosomal RNA", at positions 28 to 507 of the family's 1533-position model. The record is from RNAcentral.